UGGCUCAGAACGAACGCUGGCGGCGUGGAUUAGGCAUGCAAGUCGUACGGGCCGCAAGGCCAGUGGCGCAAGGGUGAGUAAGGCGACGGUAACCAACCCCAUGGGUGGGUAUAGCCGCGGGAAACUGCGGGUAAUCCCCAGCGACGCACGAGGCCGGCAUCGGCCUUGUGCCAAAGCUCAGGCGCCGUGGGACGGGCCGUCGUGGUAUUAGGUAGUUGGUGGUGUAACGGCCCACCGAGAAGACGAUGCCUACCGGGCGUGCGAGCGUGGCCCGGCAC
This 278-nucleotide ribosomal RNA is filed under the name uncultured Singulisphaera sp. RNAcentral describes it as "partial 16S ribosomal RNA". It matches the Rfam family "Bacterial small subunit ribosomal RNA", at positions 20 to 311 of the family's 1533-position model. The record is from RNAcentral. Lineage: Bacteria; Pseudomonadati; Planctomycetota; Planctomycetia; Isosphaerales; Isosphaeraceae.